GCGGGAUUAGUACAAUGGUAGUACGCUAGCUUCCCAAGCUAGAGAAGCGGGUCCGAUUCCCGUAUCCCGCUCCA
RNAcentral lists this transfer RNA (74 nucleotides) under bacterium. Its description in RNAcentral is "tRNA-Gly". It matches the Rfam family "tRNA". From Rfam's summary of the family: Transfer RNA (tRNA) molecules are approximately 80 nucleotides in length. Their secondary structure includes four short double-helical elements and three loops (D, anti-codon, and T loops). Further hydrogen bonds mediate the characteristic L-shaped molecular structure. tRNAs have two regions of fundamental functional importance: the anti-codon, which is responsible for specific mRNA codon recognition, and the 3' end, to which the tRNAs corresponding amino acid is attached (by aminoacyl-tRNA synthetases). tRNAs cope with the degeneracy of the genetic code in two manners: having more than one tRNA (with a specific anti-codon) for a particular amino acid; and 'wobble' base-pairing, i.e. permitting non-standard base-pairing at the 3rd anti-codon position. The record is from RNAcentral. RNAcentral also lists the same sequence under 5 other names.